This 470-nucleotide ribosomal RNA is filed under the name uncultured bacterium. RNAcentral's name for it is "bacterial SSU rRNA". It matches the Rfam family "Bacterial small subunit ribosomal RNA", at positions 17 to 507 of the family's 1533-position model. The record is from RNAcentral.
UCCUGGCUCAGAUUGAACGCUGGCGGCAUGCCUUACACAUGCAAGUCGAACGGCAGCACGGGAGCAAUCCUGGUGGCGAGUGGCGAACGGGUGAGUAAUAUAUCGGAACGUGCCCAGUCGUGGGGGAUAACGUAGCGAAAGCUACGCUAAUACCGCAUACGAUCUAUGGAUGAAAGCGGGGGAUCGCAAGACCUCGCGCGAUUGGAGCGGCCGAUAUCAGAUUAGGUAGUUGGUGAGGUAAAGGCUCACCAAGCCGACGAUCUGUAGCUGGUCUGAGAGGACGACCAGCCACACUGGGACUGAGACACGGCCCAGACUCCUACGGGAGGCAGCAGUGGGGAAUAUUGGACAAUGGGCGAAAGCCUGAUCCAGCAAUGCCGCGUGAGUGAUGAAGGCCUUCGGGUUGUAAAGCUCUUUUACUCGGGACGAUAAUGACGGUACCGAGAGAAUAAGCCCCGGCUAACUCCGUG